UACGUAGGGUGCGAGCGUUGUUCGGAUUUACUGGGCGUAAAGGGCGCGUAGGCGGUAGCACAAGUCAGUUGUGAAAUCUCCGGGCUUAACUCGGAAAGGUCAACUGAUACUGUGCGACUAGAGUGCAGAAGGGGCAACUGGAAUUCUCGGUGUAGCGGUGAAAUGCGUAGAUAUCGAGAGGAACACCUGCGGCGAAGGCGGGUUGCUGGGCUGACACUGACGCUGAUGCGCGAAAGCCAGGGGAGCGAACGGG
Molecule: ribosomal RNA, 253 nt
Filed under: uncultured bacterium
Lineage: Bacteria
Description: partial 16S ribosomal RNA
Rfam family: Bacterial small subunit ribosomal RNA
Source: RNAcentral